CAAUAGCGUAUAUUUAAGUUGUUGCAGUUAAAAAGCUCGUAGUUGGAUUUUGGGUCGGGGGCACCGGUCCGCCGUUCCGGUGUGCACUGGUGGCCCCUUCCUUUCUGCCGGGGACGUGCGUCGCACUUAAUUGGGUGGCGUUCGGAGUCGGCGUUGUUACUUUGAAAAAAUUAGAGUGUUCAAAGCAAGCCAUCGCUCUGAAUACAUUAGCAUGGAAUAACAUGUUAGGACUCCGGUCUUAUUUUGUUGGUUUCCGAGACUGGAGUAAUGAUUAAGAGGGACAGUCGGGGGCAUCCGUAUUUCAUUGUCAGAGGUGAAAUUCUUGGAUUUAUGAAAGACGAACUUCUGCGAAAGCAUUUGCCAAGGAUGUUUUCAUUAA
RNAcentral lists this ribosomal RNA (379 nucleotides) under uncultured eukaryote. RNAcentral describes it as "partial 18S ribosomal RNA". It matches the Rfam family "Eukaryotic small subunit ribosomal RNA", at positions 592 to 976 of the family's 1831-position model. The record is from RNAcentral.